RNAcentral lists this ribosomal RNA (912 nucleotides) under Rhabdocline alpina. RNAcentral's name for it is "partial large subunit ribosomal RNA". It matches the Rfam family "Eukaryotic large subunit ribosomal RNA", at positions 38 to 966 of the family's 3401-position model. Lineage: Eukaryota; Fungi; Ascomycota; Leotiomycetes; Helotiales; Cenangiaceae. The record is from RNAcentral.
GCAUAUCAAUAAGCGGAGGAAAAAGAAACCAACAGGGAUUACCUCAGUAACGGCGAGUGAAGCGGUAAAAGCUCAAAUUUGAAAUCUGGCCCUUUUAGGGUCCGAGUUGUAAUUUGUAGAAGAUGUUUCGGGUGUGGCACCGGUCUAAGUUCCUUGGAACAGGACGUCAUAGAGGGUGAGAAUCCCGUAUGUGACUGGCUGCCUACGCCUAUGUGAAACUCUUUCGACGAGUCGAGUUGUUUGGGAAUGCAGCUCAAAAUGGGUGGUAAAUUUCAUCUAAAGCUAAAUAUUGGCCAGAGACCGAUAGCGCACAAGUAGAGUGAUCGAAAGAUGAAAAGCACUUUGGAAAGAGAGUUAAACAGUACGUGAAAUUGUUGAAAGGGAAGCGCUUGCAAUCAGACUUGGGCCUAGGCGAUCAUGUAGGGUUCUCCCUGCUGCACUCGUCUAGGCACAGGCCAGCAUCGGUUCUGGUGGUGGGAUAAAGGCCCUGGGAAUGUGGCCCCUCUCGGGGGGUGUUAUAGCCCAGGGUGCAAUGCCGCCUACCGGGACCGAGGACCGCGCUUCGGCUAGGAUGCUGGCGUAAUGGUUGUAAGCGACCCGUCUUGAAACACGGACCAAGGAGUCUAACAUCUAUGCGAGUGUUUGGGUGUCAAACCCAUACGCGUAAUGAAAGUGAACGCUGGUGAGAACCCUUAAGGGUGCAUCAUCGACCGAUCUUGAUGUCUUCGGAUGGAUUUGAGUAAGAGCAUAGCUGUUGGGACCCGAAAGAUGGUGAACUAUGCGUGAAUAGGGUGAAGCCAGAGGAAACUCUGGUGGAGGCUCGCAGCGGUUCUGACGUGCAAAUCGAUCGUCAAAUUUGCGUAUAGGGGCGAAAGACUAAUCGAACCAUCUAGUAGCUGGUUCCUGCCGAAG